This 489-nucleotide ribosomal RNA is filed under the name uncultured bacterium. Its description in RNAcentral is "partial 16S ribosomal RNA". It matches the Rfam family "Bacterial small subunit ribosomal RNA", at positions 30 to 506 of the family's 1533-position model. The record is from RNAcentral.
AUUGAACGCUGGCGGCAGGCCUAACACAUGCAAGUCGAACGGUAACAGGAAGCAGCUUGCUGCUUUGCUGACGAGUGGCGGACGGGUGAGUAAUGUCUGGGAAACUGCCUGAUGGAGGGGGAUAACUACUGGAAACGGUAGCUAAUACCGCAUAACGUCGCAAGACCAAAGAGGGGGACCUUAGGGCCUCUUGCCAUCGGAUGUGCCCAGAUGGGAUUAGCUAGUAGGUGGGGUAACGGCUCACCUAGGCGACGAUCCCUAGCUGGUCUGAGAGGAUGACCAGCCACACUGGAACUGAGACACGGUCCAGACUCCUACGGGAGGCAGCAGUGGGGAAUAUUGCACAAUGGGCGCAAGCCUGAUGCAGCCAUGCCGCGUGUAUGAAGAAGGCCUUCGGGUUGUAAAGUACUUUCAGCGGGGAGGAAGGGAGUAAAGUUAAGACCUUUGCUCAUUGACGUUACCCGCAGAAGAAGCACCGGCUAACUCCGU